This 1529-nucleotide ribosomal RNA is filed under the name Xylocoris hiurai. RNAcentral's name for it is "SSU rRNA". It matches the Rfam family "Eukaryotic small subunit ribosomal RNA", at positions 194 to 1636 of the family's 1831-position model. Lineage: Eukaryota; Metazoa; Arthropoda; Insecta; Hemiptera; Anthocoridae. The record is from RNAcentral.
GGUAGGGGCGCUUUUAUUGGUCCAAGACCAUUCGCCCGGUUCUCCGGGCGUCUCCUUGAUGAAUCCAAAUAACAAAUCAGAUCGCAUGGUCUUUGUACCGGCGACUUAUCUUUCAAAUGCCUGACUUAUCAACUGACGAUGGUAGACUCUGUGUCUACCAUGGCUCCUACGGGUAACGGGGAAUCAGGGUUCGAUUCCGGAGAGGGAGCCUGAGAAACGGCUACCACAUCCAAGGAAGGCAGCAGGCACGCAAAUUACCCACUCCCGGCACGGGGAGGUAGUGACAAAAAAUAACGAUACGGGACUCGAUAUGAGGCCCCGUAAUCGGAAUGAGUACACUUUAAAUCCUUUAACAAGGAUCAAUUGGAGGGCAAGUCCGGUGCCAGCAGCCGCGGUAAUUCCGGCUCCAAUAGCGUAUAUUAAAGUUGUUGCGGUUAAAAAGCUCGUAGUUGGUUCUGCGUGCCGCGCUGUCGGUUCACCGCCUGCCGGUGCAACUGGCAUGCCGCGGCAUGUCCUGUCGGUGGCGGACAGGCCUCCCGGCGUGCCCUACGCGUUUAACAGCGUGUAGGCCGCCGCGCCGGGUCGUCCUUGAACGCCGGCUCAAUCCUACCGCGGUGCUCUUUACCGAGUGUCGAGGUAGGCCGACACUGUUUACUUUGAACAAAUUAGAGUGCUUAAAGCAGGCUCUUAAAUCAGCCUGAAUAGUGGUGCAUGGAAUAAUGGAACAGGACCUUGGUUCUAUUUUGUUGGUUUUCGGAAUCCAAGGUAAUGAUCAAUAAGGACAGGCGGGGGCAUUCGUAUUGCGGCGUUAGAGGUGAAAUUCUUGGAUCGUCGCAAGACGCACUAGAGCGAAAGCAUUUGCCAAGUAUGUCUUAAUUGAUCAAGAACGAAAGUUAGAGGUUCGAAGGCGAUCAGAUACCGCCCUAGUUCUAACCAUAAACGAUGCCAGCCAGCGAUCCGCCGAUGUUCCUCCGAUGACUCGGCGGGGAGCUUUCCCCGGGAAACCAAAGCUUUUGGGUUCCGGGGGAAGUAUGGUUGCAAAGCUGAAACUUAAAGGAAUUGACGGAAGGGCACCACCAGGAGUGGAGCCUGCGGCUUAAUUUGACUCAACACGGGAAACCUCACCAGGCCCGGACAUUGGAAGGAUUGACAGAUCGAUAGCUCUUUCUCGAUUCAGUGGGUAGUGGUGCAUGGCCGUUCUUAGUUGGUGGACUGAUUUGUCUGGUUAAUUCCGAUAACGAACGAGACUCUAGCCUAUUAACUAGGCGUUGCCGGUAUAAACAGCUACCGGCGAGAUUUUUUCUUCUUAAGGGGACAGGCGGCUCUCAGCCGCACGAGAUUGAGCAAUAACAGGUCUGUGAUGCCCUUAGAUGUUCUGGGCCGCACGCGCGCUACACUGAAGGAAUCAGCGUGUGCUCCCCUGUCCGAAAGGUCCGGGUAACCCGCUGAACCUCCUUCGUGCUAGGAAUUGGGGCUUGCGAAUUGUUCCCCAUGAACGAGGAAUUCCCAGUAAGCGCGAGUCAUAAGCU